Molecule: long non-coding RNA, 4083 nt
Organism: Equus caballus (horse)
Lineage: Eukaryota; Metazoa; Chordata; Mammalia; Perissodactyla; Equidae
Source: Ensembl
CUUAGACCAGGCAGAAGGACCUAGAAGAGGAGAAAAUUUAUUCCUCCCCGACAGUAGCAUGCAUGUGUACCUAACCAGCUCUUGUACAGUAAACCGCAUAGUAAACUAGUGGUUCUCAACUGGUGAAAUUUUUGCACCUUAUGGGACAUUUGCCAAAGUCUAGAGAUAUUUUUCGUUGUCACAGCUGGGGGAGAGCAUACUACUGGCAUCUAGUGGGCAGAGACCAGGGAUCCUACUCCUUACCCUACAAUGCACAGGAUAGCCCCAUAACAGAGAAUUAUCCAGCUCAAAAGGUGCUGAGGAUGAGAAACCCUGAUGUAACCACCACUCCAUCAAGAAACAACCAUAACGUGUCCUUCCCACCCUCCUGACCUGUGCCCACCCUGAGUUUUAUGGUAAGCACACUCCUCCUCUUCUUCAAUGUUUUCCCACGUGAGUACAUAUCGGUAGAUGUCUGAAUUUAACCCAGACUCUCUCACUAACAUGCUGCACCAUCCUGGAUGAGUUCCUUCAGCUCUGUGCCUCAUUUGCUGCAUCUGUAAAGCAGGAAUCCUAAUAGUACUCACUCCACAGACUGCUCUAUCACAUGAGUCUGUGUAAGUAUAGCAGUUAGAACAGCGUCAGGCACACAGGGGGCUGCCUGUGUGUUCAUUAUGAUGAUGAUAUCAGGGUGUUUAUAUCAACAACAGAAGACUGUGAGACUCUCUGGGCAGCUAGUUAAGGUUAUAACUGAAGCACCGAGACUGCAUUUCUGCAGGCUCAGCACUCUGAGUGGACACUUGCACAGAGCAUCAGGAAGGCCCUGCCUCUACAUUACACAGGGCACAGCACUGGCCUUAGAGUCUAUCCCUAGGCUGGCUGCUCAUCCUGGGUUGUCCUCCAGUGGGCUGCUCAGCCUCUCUGAUCAGCAUUAUCUCUCUCUACUGCACUAUAACAAAUGGGGACAUUUUGACUCAUCAGGACUUUUACCAGGAAGAGAGCAGGUAACAAACUGAGUUCGAUCUGAAAGUGGGCUCCCCAUUGUGCAAAAGAUAUUGUCUCCACAAUACUUCCUCUAUUGCAUUAUCCAAUCUCCUUCUUGCCCACUGUGGCAUGCAAAGCAUGGCAUUUUAUUAUUUAACGGUCUUUCAAAGACUACAAAGACUCCUGGAGCAUGAUAGAUCCUAACACUAGGAUUCCCUUUCCCUCUCCUGAUGUCACUAAUCCCACCUUGUCCGCCACUGGCAAGACUACAUGGAAUUUCUCUCACACUUUCCAGGCCAUCCACUCACGUGAAUGAAAAAUAUGCUUUGCUCAAGUGAAUGGGGUGGCGGGGGUCACAGUAAAUGGAUAACUGCCCAUAGUGAAGCUCAAUGUGGAUGAAGCAGGUGACCAGCCUUUGCCCUGUUUCCCUCUACCUGAGAUGGUUAAUCUCCUCUGCCGCCACCUGCUGUACCUCUCACCCAGCUAACAUUCAGUGACUGUUCAAGCGUAGGCUCUGCUGUAACCUCUUAAGGCAGUAAAUCCCAGAGAGAGUGAAGGAUGCUGUGGUGUAGCUCCAGAUCCCCCUGUUCAGGAGAGAGGCGCUUAUUCCCCCAGCUGCCAAGAGUGUCACCUGUCCACAGCACACGACUGAGUCCUUCCCUGGGGAUUGCCCUUUGCCUAAAUGAGCUGCCUCACCCAAUGGUAUGUUCCUUUCCAGAGGCAGCCCAUAAUCAAUGAUAGGUUGUUGGGGUGUAUAAAGCCCCCUGUCCUUGCCUCAAUUUCAGACAAUUCCAAAGGGCCAUGCCAGCUACAGCACUCCAAAGGAGUAAGCUGUGGUCUUUGUUGCCACCACAUCACAGUUCAACUUCUGCUUCCCUUCCUUCGUCCCUCCAAGUUAGUGCUCCGGAGAGCACUCCACAAUACACUUCCUUCAUUCAGACACAGUCACUCAGGGAACUCACAGGAGCAGUCCAAGAAAGCAGACUGGAAAACGGGAUUUUAGAGUUGAUCCCCUUCUGUGGCUGGUAAUGCAGAUUCUGUCACUGGUGUAGGUGGAGUAAGGAUAGCCCAAGGGAUUUGGUGCAUUUGUUACAGCUUCCAUCCAUAGUGAACUGGGAUGGGAAAAUGGGGAAAGGGAAUAUGCUAGCAGGUGUGCUAUCUCAGGCUUUGGAGAGAUUUGGGAGAUGUGAUGAUUAUAAGGAUUAUAGGAUUGAACAAUUAAAUGUGUGUGGCUUAAGGCAAAAAGACAAUGCACAGCUGAGGAUGCUUCAUCACUCAUUGAAAGCUAAGUUUGAAAGUCGCAAGGCUUCCUUGGAUAGACAUGCAGAUAGUUUCAAAUGCUCUAAGCCAUACGGCAGAAAAGUGAGGAGUCCUCAACUUAAUUAUAAGGGUAGCAGUCUUCCAAAGACAGUUGAAUUAUCAAUUUCAGCAAGUCAGUUAGGUCAAAGCCAGAGUCCCAGUUGAGAAGGAGGACUCUGAGACUUGGAGUUAGGACACUAGGAUCAACGCACUGAAAAUAUUUGAAUCCAUAGGUUUCGAUGAACUCUCUUGUCCUCUAGACACAGUGCUCCUCUUUCUGUUAAAAAGCUAGUUCUUCCUUCUUGCUUGAGGCAAUGCAAACGCUCUGUCUUAAAGACAGCAUGUGCCUCUCUCAGGAUAUAGCUACCCCUCCCUCCUGGAGUGCAGACUAAAGCAAGGGUUGAGUCACAGCACAACCCAUCUGGGAAAGUACUGAGCUCACUAGCGUGGGAGAGAGACUAAGCUCCAGAGGAACUUCAAGCCAGAGCCAGUGUGUCCUGCUGGGACCAGGGUGAGUACACGUGGGACUGGAUCCCGCGGAUGCUGGCUCCAGUUGGGUAGGCACAUAGGGUUUGACAAGGGAGAGUUUGGUGAUAAGAGGACAUUCCCCAAGGUAUAGAAUUCUCACUGACUGCAAGGAACCCAGCAGAGAGUAUGAAGAGAUGCCAAAGCUGUGACAGACUGUAGAGAUCCAUUGAGCUCCCAGCAGGGUACUGUGUCUUGAGGAUAACAACCAGUCACUUUGCAGCAAGUUGAUCACAUUGAAAUCCAUCCACUUUGCAAAGGUGUGCUGAUUGCAGUCUCUGGGAAGCGGAUGCUCAGCCAGAGUUGGAAGUGCAACAGAUUUAUUGUGGGCUAACAGAAGGAAAGAGAAAAGAGCAGGGUUGAGCAGGGAUGGCCAUCAGAUUGUGAUGCAGGGCCAGCUGCUGGGAGUGCUGGCUGCCACCAGUUUAUAGCCGAAUCCUUCCCGGGGCAUUGCCUCAGCUGAAGGGCACUGCCUUCUAAGGUUAUGUCCCCUUCAGAGAGCUUGCGUCAAAUGACUGAUCACUGCAGCAGAAUAAAUCCCAGCCCCCCUUUCUCAACUUGACACAAAUUUGAAAGUGAUCCCACCUCCAGAGCUCCCCGUGGCAUCUGCUGAGGUCUUUUCGUGAGCAGAUCUAAGUCUGAUCUUUCCUUCCACCCAACCCUGCUCUUUCAGUCCUCUACAGAUAUCGAUCCUGAGAGCACUGCCCAAUUCUUCUCCUGCACUUUAAUCUCCAUCGCAGAGAAUCUGACCUAGAAGUGUGAUUAAGCAUGCAGACUGUAGACCCACCUGCCUGGGUCCAAAUUCAGCUCUGCCCUGAUUAUCUGCAUGACCUUGGGUAAGUCACUUAACCAGUGGGUGUCUCUGUUUCUUCAUCUGCUGCAUGGAGAGAUAACACCUAUCACAUCAGGUUGUCAUGAAAAUUAAGUGAGAUAUAAGUUAAGAAGUUAGAACACUGUCUGCUACACAUUAAGCACUAUGGAUGUGUUAUUAUUAUUAUUGUUUCAGUUAUUAAGAUUUCUCACCCAGACAUUAAGAGGCUGGGGUCACUGUCAAGCCCCUCUCUAUCCAGCACCUAUCAGAGAAGCUUGUCCUUUGAACUCAGGAGAUAGACUUUUUCCAGUGCACCAUCCAGAGGGGUUUCCAUAGCAACUACUGCCACUUCAAAGAUUCCAGAAUGUCUCCCUUGUACAUCCAACUUCCUCCCUCCCUGUGUGCCUUUCAGGUUUAUUUUAAAUGCAAAGUAUAACAAGAUGAGAUAUAACAUCAAUUUCCUAUAUUCAAAAGAUUGAGACCGU